GGUGUCAACCCAUACGCGUAAUGAAAGUGAACGGAGGUGAGAACCCUUAAGGGCGCAUCAUCGACCGAUCCAGAUGUCUUCGGAUGGAUUUGAGUACGAGCAUAGCUGUUGGGACCCGAAAGAUGGUGAACUAUGCCUGAAUAGGGUGAAGCCAGAGGAAACUCUGGUGGAGCUCGCAGCGGUUCUGACGUGCAAAUCGAUCGUCAAAUUUGGGUAUAGGGGCGCGCUUUCGCCCCUCACAGCCUGUUAUCAGGCCCUAGUCCUUCGGGGCGAGGUCUACGGUCUGCGGGGAUGUUCACCUGGUGUGGACUGCCCGCACCCGCCUUUUAGGGGCCGGGUCACAGAUCAAGCGUAGGUCGGCGGUUCCGUUCUUCGGGAUACGCUUCAGAUAUGAUCGGGCUGCGGCUGGUGAAGCCGCGGAGCACCGGAAAGACUAAUCGAACC
RNAcentral lists this ribosomal RNA (444 nucleotides) under Palicella glaucopa. RNAcentral's name for it is "LSU rRNA". It matches the Rfam family "Eukaryotic large subunit ribosomal RNA", at positions 697 to 941 of the family's 3401-position model. The record is from RNAcentral. Lineage: Eukaryota; Fungi; Ascomycota; Lecanoromycetes; Lecanorales; Lecanoraceae.